This is a non-coding RNA of Pelobates cultripes (western spadefoot toad), 1034 nucleotides long. Lineage: Eukaryota; Metazoa; Chordata; Amphibia; Anura; Pelobatidae. The record is from the annotation of a GenBank genome assembly.
CCAACUACCACCUAGUCUGUAAUUCUUUAUAACACCUUAACCUGUGACAUUGCAUAUCUUCCACAAACUUAGAUUGUCUCAAAGUCAAGUAGGAGUGCCGCAGAUGAUUAGCAAGUUUGUAUCUCUGGCCUGUCAUUGAAACUGUGAGCAAACAGCAUACUAUGUGAGUGAAUCAAAGACUGAUUAUAGCAUUAAAGGGACACUAUAGUCACGGGAACACAAGUUUAAAGGGACACUAUAGUCACCCAGACCACUUCAGCUCAAUGAAGUGGUCUGGGUGCCAGGUCCCUCAGGUUUUAACCCUUCAGAUGCAAACAUAGCAGUUUCAGAGAGACUGUUAUGUUUACAUUUGGGGUUAAUCCAGCCUCUAGUGGCUGUCUUCCGGACAGCCACUAGAGGCGCACCUGCGACGCUGGUGACACAUUUCGCCUCCAUUGCGAAGAGCGUCCAUAGGAAAGCAUUGAGAAAUGCUUUCCUAUGGACACUUUGAAUGCGCGCGUGGCACUUGCCGCGCAUGCGCAUUCGGCUCUGCUGACGUCGGGAGAGGGAGCUGACGUCGGCGGGGGAGGAGAGGUCACCAGCACCGGAGCCCGACACUGGAUUAAAGUAAGUAACUGAAGGGGUUUUAACCCCUUCAGGGCCACGGGAGUGGGACCCUGAGGGUGGGGGCACCCUCAGGGCACUAUAGUGUCAGGAAAACCGCUUUGUUUUCCUGACACUAUAGUGAUCCUUUCAUGCACUUAUUAAAUUUAUAUUAUCGUAAUAUCUUUAGAGUUGAUCCAUGUAAGAUAAUAUAUUAACUUUGUGUAAUCUCUCAAACAAUGUUUGUUUUGUCUAAUAUAGCAACACUCUUAAUAAAAAAAAAAAAUCUUAAAGGAACACUCCCACCACCAACCCAACAUAAUCUAAAUUAAGUUGUUAUUGUGUUCUGGUGAGUAUAGUCCUUCCCUGCAGGAUUUUUUUUUAUAUAAACACUAUCUUUUCAGAGAAAAGGAAGUGUUUAUAUUGCUAAUCCAAAGAACAAUAUUCCUGUG